This is a long non-coding RNA of Arachis duranensis, 508 nucleotides long. RefSeq lists it as uncharacterized. The record is from RefSeq and is a predicted model, not a curated record. Lineage: Eukaryota; Viridiplantae; Streptophyta; Magnoliopsida; Fabales; Fabaceae. The transcript has 3 exons.
UAUUGUGCAUAUUGGCUGCGUUUGUCUCAAGUGUCAUUUAUUCAUUUUUGAAAUUAAACUAAUUUCUCCAUGGAUGAUCAUUUUGACAUGGUCAAGAUAGAUCGAUGAGAUGAACGGUUGACAAUGAAUGAGGUGUGACCUAUGCCACCGCAGUGGCUACCGGCUAUUGAAUUCUCAUAGCUUAGAUUCCAGAUUCUGCUGCAGCCAUGUUUUUGGCCUCGUAAUCGCUUCCGAUUAAAUUUCAGAAGCUUGCUUAGCCAUCAGACUCCAUGGGAGACAUGGUGAUCAUUUUGAAAUUAAACCUCACAUAUUUGCACCUUGUAUCAUUGAUGAUCACAGUUAGCAUAGCAUCACAGAAAAUAAACAAGUCUUCUACUCUAGAAGUUGUUUGAAUCCAGUGAUCCAGUUUUCAUUCCAGUUCCUGAUAACUCUGCCAAUAAGAGGAGGUUUACUCUGUCUUGCCCUUAGAAACUAUGCUCAUGUUCCUUUUAUGAAGUGUCUCUAAUGU